This is a long non-coding RNA of Schistocerca gregaria, 184 nucleotides long. RefSeq lists it as uncharacterized. The transcript has 3 exons. The record is from RefSeq and is a predicted model, not a curated record. Lineage: Eukaryota; Metazoa; Arthropoda; Insecta; Orthoptera; Acrididae.
CAGGCCCUGUUGAGGAGCAAGUCCCACCUCCUAUUGCUCAGGAACAGGAAAUACAGCUGGUUGAUUGGUGCCCUAUACUGGAGGCGGGCAAUCUCCACUUUGAGGGAUUGAGGUACUUCCGAGGCAGUGUAAUGAGAUAUGUGACUGCAGCUGUGAAGGCUAGAGUUGGCCAGGGCCAGAGUUG